GACAGACACCUCUCCCUUGUAGCUCCUGCAUAUUCAUGGGUCACUAUGAUUUCUAGUGGACCCCGUACCCUUCCCAUGCAGGCAGACAGAAGGAAUUCCAAAGAGGCUUGCAGACAGCAGCGGCACUUUCUUCCAAAGGCGAAAAGAAGCCCAGUUCCAAUCUACAAAAACCCUGCAGCAGUGGAGUCAAGAGUAAGAACUACGGAAGGGAGAGGCCCACAAACACAAGAUGGAGAAGGGAAGUUCUGCCAAGACCACACUCUGCAAUAGAAGCCUCUCCCAGAUACACGCUAAGCUUCAAGUAAACAACCUAUUAGCGCUGCCCUAGCCAGCCACAGGCACUGUCCAGUGUUGGGAGGUGACUGUUCACCUGUAAACCCUCUGCAUUCAGUCAUGAGGGGGAACCUGUGAUGCAAAACCAGCCAAACCAGAUAAAGGAAGCAGAUCUUGCCAAAGCACUACAUGCUUGACUGGAGUUAUCAGGACUGGGCAAUGAACUGGGCAUGAACUGGGAUGCACCUGAUUGCAACUCUUAGCAGUGGUACUCUGCAGCUCCUUGACACCAUAAUCAUAGCUCAACUAGACCUGAGGAACAUUGAAAAUAACCAUCAGAAAAGACUGAGACAGGAAAACACAGACCAUCCAGUUAUCUAAUUAGAAUAAUUCCUGAGAAGACAGCCUGUAAAUUCCUGGGCCUGUAUCCUAAGAGAAAGAUCCUCCAACCCCACCCAAGAAGAAGCUGCAUAAAUAAGGAUUACUGUAGAAACCAGGGACAGAUGACUGAGAGAACUGCCAGGAACCAGAAGCCAAAUUCAAGUUUUGGCUGCUGCUGCAGGUUCUUACUUUGUUUAAACGCCUUUGGGGUAGCUGUUCAUAUAAAUGUUCAUGUUUACUUCGAAUGGAAGAUACCACCAUCUCAUUUCAGUGCUGCAAAGAACCCAGGGAACCCACCC
Long non-coding RNA from Peromyscus eremicus (cactus mouse), 953 nucleotides. RefSeq lists it as uncharacterized. NCBI's taxonomy places the organism in Eukaryota, Metazoa, Chordata, Mammalia, Rodentia, Cricetidae. The record is from RefSeq and is a predicted model, not a curated record. The transcript has 5 exons.